GACGAACGCUGGCGGCGUGCUUAACACAUGCAAGUCGAACGGAAAGGCCCUGCUUUUGUGGGGUGCUCGAGUGGCGAACGGGUGAGUAACACGUGAGUAACCUGCCCUUGACUUUGGGAUAACUUCAGGAAACUGGGGCUAAUACCGGAUAGGAGCUCCUGCUGCAUGGUGGGGGUUGGAAAGUUUCGGCGGUUGGGGAUGGACUCGCGGCUUAUCAGCUUGUUGGUGGGGUAGUGGCUUACCAAGGCUUUGACGGGUAGCCGGCCUGGGAGGGUGACCGGCCACAUUGGGACUGGGAUACGGCCCAGACUCCUACGGGGGGCAGCAGUGGGGGAUAUUGCACAAUGGGCGGAAGCCUGAUGCAGCAACGCCGCGUGCGGGAUGACGGCCUUCGGGUUGUAAACCGCUUUCGCCUGUGACGAAGCGUGAGUGACGGUAAUGGGUAAAGAAGCACCGGCUAACUACGUG
This 468-nucleotide ribosomal RNA is filed under the name uncultured bacterium. RNAcentral describes it as "partial 16S ribosomal RNA". It matches the Rfam family "Bacterial small subunit ribosomal RNA", at positions 28 to 507 of the family's 1533-position model. The record is from RNAcentral.